Molecule: ribosomal RNA, 438 nt
Filed under: Triticum aestivum (bread wheat)
Lineage: Eukaryota; Viridiplantae; Streptophyta; Magnoliopsida; Poales; Poaceae
Description: partial small subunit ribosomal RNA
Source: RNAcentral
AUGAUCAUAGGAGAUUUUAAUGAGAUCCUAGUAGCAAGUGAGAAUGAUGGUGGUAACAUCAGGCCCUUACAAUUUAUGCAAAGUUUCAGAGAUUGUAUAGAGGAAUGUGGAUUGCAGGAAAUUAUGUAUAUCGGGGACCAAUUUACGUGGAGUCGAGGAGUGAUAAGGGAAUGGCUUGAUAGAGCUCUCUGUACUGAAAAAUGGGCUAAAAAUUUUCCCUUCGCAGCUGUUGUUCAUGAACACCAUACCCACUCAGAUCAUCGACCCCUAGUCUUGGAUACAGACUACUUUGCCGGUGUGCCUUCACAACAACCUAAGGGCGAGAGGAGAUUCAAAGCAAGGUGGCUGAACGAAGAGACAGUAAAUGAGAUUGUCACAACGGCAUGGCAGCGCGCACAGCUAUCCGGAGUUGGGCCGUCACUGUCGGAGCGCACAUGA